UCAAAUGUUCGUCAUCAGAUCCGGAGGAUGCUGUAGAUUCGGCUCCGUCGUUGUCUUCCUCCACAUCGUCGUCCACAAGUGAAGUAUUUAUUAACAGUCCGAGAUACAAAUGGUUCACCGUACUCGGCGGUAUUGAGAUGUUAGACACCGCGUACUUGACUUACCUCAAGCUCACUGGUUCCGAUGUCUUUUGCCCUGUUGGUGGUGGUACUUGCAGCGAUGUCUUGAACAGCGAUUAUGCCCUUGUUUUUGGCUAGUAUCAUCCAUCGCUUUAUUUUGAUUCACGUUGCUCCAUUGUUGAAUUGUGGAGAUUGAAUGCAUAUAGGUAGUCCUGAGUCUAGAAUAUGAGAUUUAUAUUCGUGUACAUCUCUUAAACUAGCAAUUCAAUCACUAAGGCAUGAUUAGAUCCUGUUUAAAUAAUUCGCAUGUGAUUGUGAGAAUCUCGAAUUUGUGCUACAAGCUGUAGUAUUGCCUUAUUGGGGAGCUUCAGUAUUUAGUAUGCAUAGAAAGAACUGUUAAAGUAUUUAGUAUGCUUCAAUUUGUACUCCUGUUGUCGGAUCUAGAUUACCUAUUAAGACAUCGAGCGAUGCCUUAAAGUAUCCUCCGACUCUGUGUCUUCGUCCGUGGCUAUUUUUGCAAUCUCGCGAUAACUUCUCCAUCUAAUAUGUAAAUCUUUUCUAUGGAGACAGCAUGCCAAUCCGCGAAGGUGGAAGUACAUGAAGUCGGGCCCCGAUAAAUUUCCUAAAAAUAAUUAGUUGAAUCAACACAAAACACACAGACAAAGAUCUCAAAACAGAAAUAUUACUUGAAUAUGAACACUUACGUCUCUAAUAUCGGCAAAUUCCGGAAGGAACACUGCUAUGGUUCCUAUGAUUGGCUGACCUUUCAAAUAGUGAAGGGCCAUGUUAACAUCCUUGAAACAUCUGACAUCGUUAAGGACAUGUACGCGAUUCGCCUCACAGGGGUGUCGACCAACAUAGUCACUGCACUUCCUAGAAAACCUCCAGUCAGAACUCUUCGGAAUCCCGUUGUUCAUUAUAUACUCCAUAGCUCUAAACGUAGAAUAUCCGUAGCAGCUAUGUUCCCCGAAACUAGUUGAAAGUCUCAUUCUUGCCUUCGAAUGGUCCACAACAUCCAGAAGAAACGUACUGGAAUAACGUGUUCGUGUCUCAUCGAUUCCUCUGUGAAAACGUGCAUCACUAAUAUUUCCCGAAGACGCCUUCGUCCAACAUGUUCCUGCAAUUUCGAUUAAGGAUAUUAUUUAUAGUGAAAAGUUAAAAAGACUGGAAAUUAUAUAUGUAUCACAUUACGAUGAUAUCCCUGAGCUGCCACUGGAGCUUCUUUAUCAUGCCAGCCUUCUCCUUGUACUUUCUCAUGGUCUACCUGAAAUCAUCAUAACAAAAUCAUUGAGAAAACAAUACAGAUAAAAAGAAUACAUAUUAUUAUAUAAUACAAGUAACACCAUAAAUUUUGCAGGCCAAACCGAAUCAAAACAAAACAGAAACCAAACCGAGUGUCAUUUACUUUCUUAACCUGAAAACUGAACCGAAACCCGGUAACUUACAGAAAACUCCUCAAAUGUUCGUCAUCUGAGCCGGAAGAUUUUUGAUCAAAUGUUCGUCAUCUGAGCCGGAAGAUGGUGUAGAUUCGGCGUCGGCGCCGUCGUCGACAAGUGAAGUACCUAUUGACACUUGGACAUACAACUGGUUCACCGUACUCGGCGGUAUCGGAAUGUUGAACACCGCGUACUUGACUUACCUCAAGCUCACUGGCUCCGAUGCCUUUUGCCCUGUUGGUGGUGGCACUUGCGGCG
This 1813-nucleotide long non-coding RNA is filed under the name Brassica rapa (field mustard). Its description in RNAcentral is "long non-coding RNA (BRAP_LNC006056)". Lineage: Eukaryota; Viridiplantae; Streptophyta; Magnoliopsida; Brassicales; Brassicaceae. The record is from RNAcentral.